Molecule: ribosomal RNA, 492 nt
Filed under: uncultured bacterium
Lineage: Bacteria
Description: partial 16S ribosomal RNA
Rfam family: Bacterial small subunit ribosomal RNA
Source: RNAcentral
AGUGAACGCUGGCGGUAUGCCUAACACAUGCAAGUCGAACGGCAGCACAGUAAGAGCUUGCUCUUACGGGUGGCGAGUGGCGGACGGUUGAGGAAUACAUCGGAAUCUACUUUUUCGUGGGGGAUAACGUAGGGAAACUUACGCUAAUACCGCAUACGACCUACGUGUGAAAGCAGGGGAUCUUCGGACCUUGCGCGAUUGAAUGAGCCGAUGUCGGAUUAGCUAGUUGGCGGGGUAAAGGCCCACCAAGGCGACGAUCCGUAGCUGGUCUGAGAGGAUGAUCAGCCACACUGGAACUGAGAAACGGUACAGACUCCUACGGGAGGCAGCAGUGGGGAAUAUUGGACAAGGGGCGAAAGCCUGAUCCAGCCAUACCGCGUGGGUGAAGAAGGCCUUCGGGUUGUAAAGCCCUUUUGUUGGGAAAGAAAAGCAGCAGGUUAAUACCCCGCUGUUCUGACGGUACCCAAAGAAUAAGCACCGGCUAACUUCGUG